Molecule: ribosomal RNA, 165 nt
Filed under: Bidens cordylocarpa
Lineage: Eukaryota; Viridiplantae; Streptophyta; Magnoliopsida; Asterales; Asteraceae
Description: 5.8S ribosomal RNA
Rfam family: 5.8S ribosomal RNA
About the family: 5.8S ribosomal RNA (5.8S rRNA) is a component of the large subunit of the eukaryotic ribosome. It is transcribed by RNA polymerase I as part of the 45S precursor that also contains 18S and 28S rRNA. Functionally, it is thought that 5.8S rRNA may be involved in ribosome translocation.
Source: RNAcentral
UUAACCAUAAACGACUCUCGGCAACGGAUAUCUCGGCUCACGCAUCGAUGAAGAACGUAGCAAAAUGCGAUACUUGGUGUGAAUUGCAGAAUCCCGUGAAUCAUCGAGUUUUUGAACGCAAGUUGCGCCCGAAGCCUUUUGGCUGAGGGCACGUCUGCCUGGGCG